GAUGAACGCUGGCGGCGUGCCUAAUACAUGCAAGUCGAGCGAACAGACGAGGAGCUUGCUCCUCUGACGUUAGCGGCGGACGGGUGAGUAACACGUGGAUAACCUACCUAUAAGACUGGGAUAACUUCGGGAAACCGGAGCUAAUACCGGAUAAUAUAUUGACCCGCAUGGUUCAAUAGUGAAAGCCGGUUUUGCUGUCACUUAUAGAUGGAUCCGCGCCGCAUUAGCUAGUUGGUAAGGUAACGGCUUACCAAGGCGACGAUGCGUAGCCGACCUGAGAGGGUGAUCGGCCACACUGGAACUGAGACACGGUCCAGACUCCUACGGGAGGCAGCAGUAGGGAAUCUUCCGCAAUGGGCGAAAGCCUGACGGAGCAACGCCGCGUGAGUGAUGAAGGUCUUCGGAUCGUAAAACUCUGUUAUGAGGGAAGAACAAUUGUGUAAGUAACUAUGCACGUCUUGACGGUACCUAAUCAGAAAGCCGCGGCUAACUACGGG
Molecule: ribosomal RNA, 497 nt
Filed under: uncultured bacterium
Lineage: Bacteria
Description: partial 16S ribosomal RNA
Rfam family: Bacterial small subunit ribosomal RNA
Source: RNAcentral